GGCGGGAGGGAGCGGCUGCGGCGGGCGCGGGGCCGCCAUGAGGUAGGCAGGAGCCCCCCUUGGCCGAGUGAGGCAGCAUGGCAAGUGGGAGUCGAGAGGAGGUGCUGAAGGUCUGAUCUCUCCGGGACUACCCGGAGGCUGCAGCAUUUCUGUCUCUGUGUGGUGCAGGAUGGGCCUCCCCAGGGCUCUCUGGGCUGCCUGUCUGCGCUGACAUCUCUCAUCCACAGUGCCCCUCAUGCCCAUGACUGGCACCCUGCCAGUGCCCACCCUGGGGGCCACACUGCCUUGUGUGGCCGGUGGCACGGGGGCUCUGUAUUCUGUGGAAGCUGCUGAGCUCAGCCCCACCCCGAGCUCGCUGUGGCACACCCAGAGCAGUGCUGGGCCAGCACUAAAGAUGGGCUGAGACUGGCGAGGCUGCAGAGGGGUGUGUGGUCUGUCCAGAGCCUCCCUCCUCGCUCUCCUGGGCAGCCUGCACGGAGGCUCCGUGCCCUGGUGUGAUGGGAGCGUAAGGAGAACGGCAGUAAUGAAGGGGGAGAUGGAGAGAUCUGUCUGGGAUCUCGGGAUUUGCUUGGAGUGUCACCAGAGCCAGCUGUGAAGGUGGAGGCAGGAGCCACGCUGGGGAGGAGGAGGACCCAGGGAUGACAGUGGCCAGCUCAGCAUGGCAAAGCAGGGAAAGGUGACUGCUUUCUGCAGGGAUGGAAAACCCUGACAGUGAGAUCUGCAGGCAAGCUUGUUGCUCUAAGAUGUGCUGAGGAAGUUGAAAUCUGAGUCUCAGGCUCAAGUGCCAAGGAGGGGAGAGUUUUUACCACGGCCUGAUCAAGGUGGGAGGCAAAGGAAGUGAGGCCAGACUUCUCCAGCAAAGUGCGGGACAUUUGCAGAAUGAAUGUUGUCUUUGUAAAAAUUCAUCUCCUUCUGGAAAGGCUCAAGACAAGGCCAGCCUGCCAGCCUGUUUCCUCUCCAGCCAGGAAAGGCCUCCUCAACUGUGAAAGCCAAGGCAAGCUGAUCCCUGCCCUUCUGCAAGAUGCCUUCUGUGCCUCUUGAAAAUGCUUUUUCGGUUGUUCUUGUAAAAAAAAAAAAAUGGUUUGCAUAAUAAAGUCGAUUCUGAGGGAA
This is an RNA transcript of Pseudopodoces humilis (Tibetan ground-tit), 1110 nucleotides long. It is a transcript of the gene named proline rich and Gla domain 3, with no coding region annotated. NCBI's taxonomy places the organism in Eukaryota, Metazoa, Chordata, Aves, Passeriformes, Paridae. The record is from RefSeq and is a predicted model, not a curated record.